This is a long non-coding RNA of Homo sapiens (human), 3453 nucleotides long. The record is from Ensembl. NCBI's taxonomy places the organism in Eukaryota, Metazoa, Chordata, Mammalia, Primates, Hominidae.
ACCAGAGGCCGCCCGAGUCCCGGCUCGCUCCCCUCCUUGCGCCCUUCGCCGGGGCGGGCAGCCGGGCGGCCGCCGAGGGACAUCUCGCGGCUACACCCGCAGAGGGAAGUUCUCCCAGGCAGCCGGCGGAGCCGCAGGGGACUACGGAAAGGAGGAUGCAACGAGCCUGGGUCCCUCCGAGCUGAGUAGGGCCCGGAGUGGCCCAGAAGCGCUCGACUCCGAACGCAAAAAAUGCCUCCCGCAAACUUUUCCCGUGGGCGCCGGAGGGCCUGGAGCUGGCGGAGAGGAGGGCGCGAGUCCAGGCGGGGUCGGCCUGAAGGCAGCUGGGGUCUGGGCUUCGAGGGAAGGAACCGCAGCCGAGGCGGUGCCGGCCGCAGAAGGCUGAGAUGCUGUUUCUAACAAACCUCCCGAUGCUGCUGAUGCUGCAUAUCUGAAGACCACACUUUGAGAAGCAAGGAUCUAGGAGUUGUUUGUUAUUCAUGGAAUAAAUAUAUUUCCCAUCAUGUUCCAGCUGCUCUGGUUAAACAAGCCACUAUUGUCUUUUCCAGAAAGAUUUCUCUGACUCCAGCUCCCCUUUGGGUGCUCCUUUUUCUAAACUGUAAUUGAUUAAUAAUUCACCAUUUAUUUCAUGUGUGGAGCAGGGAUAGUGGUGCUUGCCUGAUGUGCAUUCCUUACAAACACCUACCUGGGCAUCGGGGACACAGUGUCCCCUCAAACAAUCUCUGCUGAUUAACUGGAAGAUAACACUAGCUUACAUUUUUGGAGGACAUACCAUGUGCCGGGUACCUAGCUAAGUGUUUUACAUGCAUUGUCUCCCUCAUUCAGCUACUACUGUCCUCAUUUCACAGAUGAACAAACAAAGGCCGAUCUGCCUUGUCGACCUCUGCCCACCACCAUAAUCCACAGGGGUACUGCCCGCUAGGGGGCAUUUUGGAAAUUUGCAGGUACUUUCAUUGGUCAUCACAAUGAUGGGAGGAGGGGGCCACUGACAUUUAGUUGGGGGUGGCCCCAGAUGCAGGAGAUUGGUCUGUGUCCCACAUGGCUUUCAUUUGUCAGACCUGACCUUUGCUUCAGUUGAAAUGUGCAUCGAAUUACGGUGGAACUUUAACUUUGUUUUACAUAUAAACACAAAAUGUUUUUGCAUCUUGUGAAUACACACAGGAAUUUCUGGAAAUGCAACUACUGUAUAAGUCUAGGAAGGGAUGGUACUCUUUUUACCACUUUGGAAAAUCAGGACACAGAAGCCAGUUCCAUUCAUGUUAUCUGUUUCAGCAAUCAACACAUAUAUGAUGCCCACAAGCCCAGUAAUUUCAUAUGUGUAUAUUUCUUUAGUUCCUGUUUCAAAAUAACAGCAAUUUAAAGAAAAAGUGUAAAAAAUAUUCCAGAGUGCCUGACUCUCUGUUCUUAAAUUAUAAAUAGGUACAAAUAUCUGACUGCUUAUUUGUGACCUCUGGUGUAGCUCUGAGUGAGCAUUUAAAUAUUAAUUAUGUAUUACUUUAUUUUAUUCCUCCUCUAUUAUAAUUUAGGUCAUUAUAUUGAUUUUUCAACUAUGUGUAUAUGCAUUAGCCAUGAAUUAAUUUCAUAAUCACAAUAGUGAAUAAUGUAAAACAGUUGGGGCCAGGCACAGUGGCUCACGCCUGUAAUCCCAGCACUUUGGGAGGCCGAGGCAAAAGGAUCACCUGAGGCUAGGAGUUUGAGACCAGCCUGGUCAACAUGGUGAAACCUUGUCUUUACCAAAAAUACAAAAAUUAGCCAGGCCUGGUGGUGCACACCUGUAAUCCCAGUUACUCGGGAGGCUGAGGCAGGAGAAUUGCUUAACCUGGAAGGCAGAGGCUGCAGUGAGCCAAGAUUGUGCCACUGCACUCCAGCCUGGGUGACAGAACGAGACUUUGUCUCAAAAAAUAAAUAAAUAAAUAAAUAAAUAAAUAAAUAAAUAACCAAACAAAACAGUUGGUAUAAAAAGGGAGACUGGACCAUUACAGCCAAAAGAUCCUGAGGAGACACAACCACUAGCUGAAAUAUGGCAUUGUGGAAGAAAUCCUGGAACAAAAAAAAGACAUUAGGUAAAAAUCAAGGAAUUCUGAAUCAAGUAUGGACUUCAGUUAGUAAGGUCUCAAUUAUUAGUUGUAAAAAAAAGUGCACUCAUGUGAGAUGUUAGUAAUGAGGGCACUGGGUGCAAGGUACAUGGAACUUUCUAAUCUUCUCAACUUUAUGCAAAUCUAAAACUGUUGUAAAAAAGGAAAGCUGAGGAAGGGCUUCAAGACAGCUGAUUAGAAGCAUUUCAUGCCCACCUCUUCCACUUAGUGUGUAUAGACAGUCAUACUUUGAAUACACCAUCCAAGAGAGAAUGUCGGGAUUCAAUAGAGAAGUAACAAGAAACACCAGAAAGCAGGUAAGAAGGGAGAGAGACAGCCUGCCUGGAGGGGAUGAACUGGGAGCAGGAGUAACUUCCCAAGGCAAGGAAAGGGUGAGUGACUUCCAGAGGCCCACAUCCCCACCAUGGAAUCCUGCAUUCCUGCCACAAGAGAGUCCCUCAACCCUCCCAACUCCUGACACUAACAUAGGGAGCUGCUGGGAGAUCAUGGGAUGGAACCACUCCAGGGAGGGAGCUCACAUUGGGUCCCAUACCCUUUCUGAGCCUAAGCAGCUAUGGCAAGGUGCCAUUUUCAGACCUAGCCUUUGGCAGACUGCAUACUGUCCUGGAGCCCAGCAAUGGCAAGACUGAGGCAUUACAGAGACUCUGUUGCUGCUGGGACUGGGUAGCAAGCUGGAAGUUGUCGCACAGCCAGAGCUAAAAAGCAAGCAAGCUGUGGGCAGCCGUUGUUGGUGCCAAGAAGUGAGUGCCACUGGGACAGAAGACUGGGAUGCAAGCAGGGUGUGAGUUGCUGCUUGGUCUUAGUCGCCAGCUGGGUGGGAGCUCCUACAGCCAGGGAGGGGCAUAAACUAGGAACAGGCUACUACUGCUGAGGUGGGGAACAAGCCCCACUGGAACUGGAGCAUGAGAGAGAUGUGGUUUUCCUACCCUCUGGCCCAGGCUGUGACCACUGAGGAUGACCCCACCCUCUCCAGUGGCAGGGCCUCAGUACAGCUGCUACCACCCUUUACCCAAGCACUCCACCUGCCGUCUGAGGAUCACCAUGCCCCUGCCAACCAUGUCAUCCAGGCUGGUCUUCAACUCCUGACCUCAAGUGAUCUGCCCACCUCAGCCUCCCAAAGUGUUGGGACUACAGGCAUGAGCCACCAUGCCCAGCUGCAGAAAAGAUAACUAUUGGGUACUGCACUUAAUACCUGGAUGAUGAAAUAAUCUGUACAACAUUCCUGGUGACAUGUGUUUACCUAUGUAAAAAAACCUUCACAUGUACCCCCAAACCUAAAAUAAAAUUAAAAACAAAGAAAAAUAAAAGAAAGUCAUAUAUGGGUAAGAGCACAUGGUCAUAAAACCUGACAACUGAA